This 407-nucleotide ribosomal RNA is filed under the name uncultured bacterium. Its description in RNAcentral is "partial 16S ribosomal RNA". It matches the Rfam family "Bacterial small subunit ribosomal RNA", at positions 30 to 526 of the family's 1533-position model. The record is from RNAcentral.
AUUGAACGCUGGCGGCAGGCCUAACACAUGCAAGUCGAGCGGAGCGGCGGACGGGUGAGUAAUGCCUAGGUAUCUGCCUGGCCGUGGGGGAUAACGUCCGGAAACGGGCGCUAAUACCGCAUACUAUCAGAUGAGCCUAGGUCGGAUUAGCUAGUGGGUGGGGUAAGGGCCUACCAAGGCGACGAUCCGUACCUGGUCUGAGAGGAUGAUCAGCCACACUGGAACUGAGACACGGUCCAGACUCCUACGGGAGGCAGCAGUGGGGAAUAUUUGACAAUGGGCGAAAGCCUGAUGCAGCCAUGCCGCGUGUGUGAAGAAGGUCUUCGGGUUGUAAAGCACUUUAAGUUGGGAGGCGUUACCCGCAGAAGAAGCACCGGCUAACUCCGUGCCAGCAGCCGCGGUAAUAC